ACGUUUUUGAGCGUCACCAAGUUUUGCUUCUGGCAGUCUGCUGGUUCUUUUGGAAAUCCUUUCACGGAUCCAGAGUCGAUGGAGCGAAACACCUGCAUCACACGAAGUGAUCGUCCAGCUCCGUGACCAUCAAGGCCUGGUCGCCAUCGUUUGGGCUGAGAAUCCAGGAAAUCCUGUCGAUCUCGAUCAUAGCAUCCUCGUGCCAUGUCGCGGCCUUUCUCCAGCGCUGAGCAAAGUUUGUCAGCACGUCGUACGCUGCCGGGCCGUCUAUCCGGCAGUGGAGGUCGUGCCACGGCUGCCUUGGACCACCAUGAUCGAUCGUUCCCUGGUUUUCCAGCUCAACCAACGUAAGCAUCGAGUAACAAAGAAGCAAAAAAAGUAUGCUUUUCUGCUAACACUACUGUCAAGAAGGAUGUGUUCUUUUGCUUACAGUGAAAGUCGGGUUGUGGUAGUCGUCCCUGUGGAUGCUGCCAAGCGUUUUGAACAACGGAUGCUCAGGCGUGUCGUAUCGUCCUUGCGCCAGGUCCAGCCCACCUAUGAAAGACAACGUUCCCACAACCUGGGAAAAGAUCGAGACGAAGAGUCAAAAGGAAAGAAAAAGAGAAAAGCCGCGAAGUCUCACCCAUUGCUUGAGCCAACUCAUUUUGGAAUCGCCAUAGCGAGGGGAGAGCACGCAUCGCACCGCCGAGUGCCGGAAGAACUUCUUCGUCUCCUCGUCAUAGGUAGCCAUCACUCCUUUCUGCAACUCACAGCGAUGUUAACUUCCAGCAAUCUCGCAAGAACAAAGAAGAAGAAGAAGAAAAGAAGAGAUUUUUCUUUC
Molecule: long non-coding RNA, 820 nt
Organism: Selaginella moellendorffii
Lineage: Eukaryota; Viridiplantae; Streptophyta; Lycopodiopsida; Selaginellales; Selaginellaceae
Exons: 3
Source: RefSeq, a predicted model, not a curated record